AUGUAUUUUGGAAUUUGGAAAUGCAAAGCAUCCUUUUCAAGUAAUUUUGUCCCCUGUUUUAUCAUUACAUUAAGAAUUUUGAUGGCUGCAUUUUGUUUUCACAAAUUGUCUUUUGUUAUAUCCAAUAAUAUGUGUGCUAGAAGCUAUGGAACACACCUAUAUCCAAUAAACCGUUGCCUGAAAAAUUUAUGCCUGGUCGAAGUGGUGCAUCGGGUAACAUUUGCUCCAGCUCCGCCCCUGGCGGUGGUGAUGCAGUCGGAGCAUGCAGAUGUUGUGGCAUCGCCGGGUGAGGGAGUCCUGGAUUAA
This 306-nucleotide ribosomal RNA is filed under the name Triticum aestivum (bread wheat). Its description in RNAcentral is "partial small subunit ribosomal RNA". The record is from RNAcentral. Lineage: Eukaryota; Viridiplantae; Streptophyta; Magnoliopsida; Poales; Poaceae.